This 497-nucleotide ribosomal RNA is filed under the name uncultured bacterium. RNAcentral's name for it is "partial 16S ribosomal RNA". It matches the Rfam family "Bacterial small subunit ribosomal RNA", at positions 28 to 507 of the family's 1533-position model. The record is from RNAcentral.
GAUGAACGCUGGCGGCGUGCCUAAUACAUGCAAGUCGAGCGAACGGACGAGAAGCUUGCUUCUCUGAUGUUAGCGGCGGACGGGUGAGUAACACGUGGGUAACCUACCUAUAAGACUGGGACAACUUCGGGAAACCGGAGCUAAUACCGGAUGAUAUUUUGAACCGCAUGGUUCAACAGUGAAAGACGGUCUUGCUGUCACUUAUAGAUGGAUCCGCGCUGCAUUAGCUAGUUGGUAAGGUAACGGCUUACCAAGGCAACGAUGCAUAGCCGACCUGAGAGGGUGAUCGGCCACACUGGAACUGAGACACGGUCCAGACUCCUACGGGAGGCAGCAGUAGGGAAUCUUCCGCAAUGGGCGAAAGCCUGACGGAGCAACGCCGCGUGAGUGAUGAAGGUCUUCGGAUCGUAAAACUCUGUUAUUAGGGAAGAACAUAUGUGUAAGUAACUGUGCACAUCUUGACGGUACCUAAUCAGAAAGCCACGGCUAACUACGUG